RNAcentral lists this ribosomal RNA (293 nucleotides) under uncultured bacterium. RNAcentral's name for it is "partial 16S ribosomal RNA". It matches the Rfam family "Archaeal small subunit ribosomal RNA", at positions 455 to 747 of the family's 1478-position model. The record is from RNAcentral.
GUGCCAGCCGCCGCGGUAAUACCGGCAGCACGAGUGAUGGCCGCUGUUAUUGGGCCUAAAGCGUUCGUAGCCGGCCGAGCAAGUUCGUUGGGAAAUCUGCCCGCUUAACGGGCAGGCGUCCGGCGAAAACUGUUCGGCUUGGGGCCGGAAGAUCUGAGGGGUACGUCCGGGGUAGGAGUGAAAUCCCGUAAUCCUGGACGGACCACCGGUGGCGAAAGCGCCUCAGAAAAACGGACCCGACGGUGAGGGACGAAAGCUAGGGUCUCGAACCGGAUUAGAUACCCUAGUAGUCC